GAUGAACGCUGGCGGCGUGCCUAAUACAUGCAAGUCGAGCGAACGGACGAGAAGCUUGCUUCUCUGAUGUUAGCGGCGGACGGGUGAGUAACACGUGGAUAACCUACCUAUAAGACUGGGAUAACUUCGGGAAACCGGAGCUAAUACCGGAUAAUAUUUUGAACCGCAUGGUUCAAAAGUGAAAGACGGUCUUGCUGUCACUUAUAGAUGGAUCCGCGCUGCAUUAGCUAGUUGGUAAGGUAACGGCUUACCAAGGCAACGAUGCAUAGCCGACCUGAGAGGGUGAUCGGCCACACUGGAACUGAGACACGGUCCAGACUCCUACGGGAGGCAGCAGUAGGGAAUCUUCCGCAAUGGGCGAAAGCCUGACGGAGCAACGCCGCGUGAGUGAUGAAGGUCUUCGGAUCGUAAAACUCUGUUAUUAGGGAAGAACAUAUGUGUAAGUAACUGUGCACAUCUUGACGGUACCUAAUCAGAAAGCCACGGCUAACUACGUGCCAGCAGCCGCGGUAAUACGUAGGUGGCAAGCGUUAUCCGGAAUUAUUGGGCGUAAAGCGCGCGUAGGCGGUUUUUUAAGUCUGAUGUGAAAGCCCACGGCUCAACCGUGGAGGGUCAUUGGAAACUGGAAAACUUGAGUGCAGAAGAGGAAAGUGGAAUUCCAUGUGUAGCGGUGAAAUGCGCAGAGAUAUGGAGGAACACCAGUGGCGAAGGCGACUUUCUGGUCUGUAACUGACGCUGAUGUGCGAAAGCGUGGGGAUCAAACAGGAUUAGAUACCCUGGUAGUCCACGCCGUAAACGAUGAGUGCUAAGUGUUAGGGGGUUUCCGCCCCUUAGUGCUGCAGCUAACGCAUUAAGCACUCCGCCUGGGGAGUACGACCGCAAGGUUGAAACUCAAAGGAAUUGACGGGGACCCGCACAAGCGGUGGAGCAUGUGGUUUAAUUCGAAGCAACGCGAAGAACCUUACCAAAUCUUGACAUCCUUUAACAACUCUAGAGAUAGAGCUUUCCCCUUCGGGGGACAAAGUGACAGGUGGUGCAUGGUUGUCGUCAGCUCGUGUCGUGAGAUGUUGGGUUAAGUCCCGCAACGAGCGCAACCCUUAAGCUUAGUUGCCAUCAUUAAGUUGGGCACUCUAAGUUGACUGCCGGUGACAAACCGGAGGAAGGUGGGGAUGACGUCAAAUCAUCAUGCCCCUUAUGAUUUGGGCUACACACGUGCUACAAUGGACAAUACAAAGGGCAGCGAAACCGCGAGGUCAAGCAAAUCCCAUAAAGUUGUUCUCAGUUCGGAUUGUAGUCUGCAACUCGACUACAUGAAGCUGGAAUCGCUAGUAAUCGUAGAUCAGCAUGCUACGGUGAAUACGUUCCCGGGUCU
Molecule: ribosomal RNA, 1372 nt
Filed under: uncultured bacterium
Lineage: Bacteria
Description: bacterial SSU rRNA
Rfam family: Bacterial small subunit ribosomal RNA
Source: RNAcentral